Molecule: long non-coding RNA, 2865 nt
Organism: Saimiri boliviensis boliviensis (Bolivian squirrel monkey)
Lineage: Eukaryota; Metazoa; Chordata; Mammalia; Primates; Cebidae
Source: RefSeq, a predicted model, not a curated record
CUGAGCGGUUCGGGGUCGGGAGCGGGACACACGUGAUUUAUACCCUGUCAGCUUCUAAAAAGGAUUGGAGGCAGCUUCCAAUAAAAGACACAUGCACAAUAAGAUUGCUAAAAUGGGAACCGAAAAUUGAAAACCCAUGCUGAAGAAGGAGGGAGCCAAGAAGGCAUUCUGUGCGGCAGGAGGAGGAACUGUCAGGGAGAAUGCCACCCCCAACUCCUGGCCCCCCUCGUGCCUCCAGUGCCCGAGCAGGAUGCUGGCCUGUCCUGUGCAGCAGACCGCCACCUUCUCCUCGGUUGGAUGCAGGGCACUGAGUAUUAUCUGUCUGUAUGGAUCGUCCUGCAGAUCUGUGUAUUUCCUUCUUCUGCUCAGUAGGUCAGAGCUGGCGAGUGCAACGGGAUCUUACCAGAUGCCUUUCAUCUUUAAACUACCAAGGGGCUGGGAGUUAGAAACCCCUGACCUUGCAGCCUAUGGCUGUAAAAGCCCAGGACACCCCCCAACCCCACCCCCUGCCAAAACUGCUUUUUCAUUUUCAUUUUGAUGUGAUUUUCAUUUUCUUGAGUUUUGUGGUGAAGGCAAAUGUGGUCAGCAUAGACGAGAAGGCAAAUGCCAGUCUCCCAGGACCUGCCUGGGUCCUGUUCCCAGGGAGGAGCUCCUCCUUCCCCUCUCUUCCCUCCUUCCCUUUCUGUUCUUCCUUCCUGAGUCUGCUAAGGGCUAUGAUGGGCUUAGUCCUGAACCCAAAGAAACAGCCCCAGGUGAAUGCCCUCUUCCGAUCAGAGCUGUGGAUGUUUCUCUAGGGCCUCUGAUCCUGCAUUUUCUAACCCUGCCCUUCACUCCCGGUUCCUUCAGUAACAUUUAGAAUAUUUGAGAAAUGAAAGCUAACCAUGCUCAUUGAACAUGGAUUCCACCCCAAUUCAGAGCGCUUACAUUUUCACAGUUCCCAGGGAAGAUCUCUGUCUGUGGGAGACACUUGGAAAGACAGGAGAAUCUGGAUGCGGCUGGUCUGCUGCAGAGCCACACCCUAGCAGGCAGAAGCGCGGUUUUACAUCCUACUCCACAUAAACCUGAACCCGGCCCUCCUGCACACAUUCUCCAUUGCAGAGCCAAGCCUCCCUGUCACUCACUGUAUCUCGUGCCACAUCCAAGCAUCUCUGUGACACAGGGAGUUGACAGACUUGGUCAGGUGCUGAUUCCACACCAUUUGUCAUGAGUCUUUGAAAAGAACCAGAGCUGGCCCACGAGCAAGCUGAGCGCAGAGGUUUCCUCAGUCCGUCUUCUCUCCUGACAAGAGGUCUUGAGUUUUCAUGAGAUUUACUCACUGGAUCUUAGCUGGGUAACCUCUUUCCUGACGUUACACACGAAGGAUCAGAGUAGCUGUGGUGGCCGUGGCCUGAUGGGAGAUGGAAAGACAGGGAGACGGCGGCUGCAGGGAUGUCCACCCCCUGGUAACACUCCCCAAAGGCUCCGAAUGGAGAGGUCUGCCAUGGAGGCUCUGCUCCAGAGUGGGAAACAUGGUGGGGGAGUUGGCCCCUCCGACAGGGUCAGUGGGAGAAGCCCGCAGCAAUAAAAUCAACACAUUACCAUCACCCAGCCGGGCAGAGCAAAGGGGCAAACCGCAGUUCGGCACAACUGUACAGACCGCCAAAUUCAAGCUUUUAGAAACUCAGUUUUGCCAACUUGUCCUCUGAAGGCAGGGCGUGCAUGCACAAGGGCUGGUAAUGUAGACAUCAUCUGGAGGUGUCCUGAGGAGGGUCACCUAUUAGGCUGCAAACCUGGAAGGCCAUUCUAAGCCUGGGGUGUCAGAAGCAGCAUGAAGGUGCAUUUUUUUGUGUUUUCAGAUAAGCAGGUAAUUGGUGUUAUGAACAUGCCAAGCUUUCUCAGUUUGCUUGACUUAGCUUCUUAGGAAUCCAUUAAGAAUGACCUUUACUCUUAUGUCUUUAAGUACAUUUAAUACACUCACCUGCCGAUUUUUUACUUUUUUUUAAGUAAUCGUGCCUCAUCAAACAGUAAUGAAGGAGGAAGGCCUCGAGCCGGCUUAUGUAGGAAAUAUAAAUCAAGGUCCUAAAUCACUAAUAAUUGGGUAGGAAAGUUGAAACUAUAUGUGCUUCCGGGUAACUGUGAUUCUAAUUUUCUCCAAAACUGAGUUAUCUGCCAUCAGACAAAAUUUGCUAAUGGCCUCACUCAUUAUUACAGAUUCAUGUCACUGCUUGCGAGAGAUGCUUGCUUUCCUCUUCUACGCUCACAAAAUCGCAGCCUUGGGCGAUUAAUCCUGAUAACACCAAGAGAGACCCAAAUACUUACUGUUUCAUUUAAUGACUCUUGGCAGAAAGGAAAAACACUUCACUUGAACACGGUAUUUUAAAAAUAUGUAUUUUACUAACUUUCAUGGGAAAUUUAACUAUUUGAUGAAAUGCCUUUGUAUAUUACUUGGCUGGUUUUCAUUUGUACUUAACAAUUUGUCUUAAAGAUGAUACAUGAAAAUGAGAUGAAAAUAUACAAUGUUCCCCAUAAACCAAACCUAGGAGAGAUGAAACGUUGCCCCAAGUGAAAUAGCUGAAUUCAAUGGAUUUUAAUUACUUUUUGUCCCCACGGGCUCCCCCGCCCCCACCUUAAUUUCUUCUAUUUUCCCGUUAGGUUGCAAUCAUUAAUUUCAAGUUUGCUCCCACACUAUCCAGGAAACUAAACAAAACGUGUGACAGCCGAGAUGAUUCAGUGCCGCCUUUUGACUAAGCAAGCAAGUGUCCUUUUCGACGCCAGCCUAUGCCCAUACCCUGGUGGGAGGGUGGUAGUGGGGAUGGCCCACGGCCGUCUCAGCAGCCGCCCGCUUCCACGCCCUAAUUACAGUCCUCCCAGUGAUGGGCUGCCCGC